RNAcentral lists this unclassified non-coding RNA (328 nucleotides) under soil metagenome. RNAcentral describes it as "partial contains 5.8S ribosomal RNA, internal transcribed spacer 2, and large subunit ribosomal RNA". The stretch from base 1 to 120 matches the Rfam family "5.8S ribosomal RNA", at positions 35 to 154 of the family's 154-position model. The record is from RNAcentral.
GAUGAAGAACGCAGCGAAAUGCGAUAAGUAAUGUGAAUUGCAGAAUUCAGUGAAUCAUCGAAUCUUUGAACGCACAUUGCGCCCCCUGGUAUUCCGGGGGGCAUGCCUGUCCGAGCGUCAUUACAACCCUCAAGCUCAGCUUGGUGUUGGGCCCCGCCGCCCCGGCGGGCCCUAAAGUCAGUGGCGGUGCCGUCCGGCUCCGAGCGUAGUAAUUCUUCUCGCUCUGGAGGUCCGGUCGUGUGCUCGCCAGCAACCCCCAAUUUUUUCAGGUUGACCUCGGAUCAGGUAGGAAUACCCGCUGAACUUAAGCAUAUCAAUAAGCGGAGGA